This 1150-nucleotide long non-coding RNA is filed under the name Pan troglodytes (chimpanzee). Its description in RNAcentral is "lincRNA". Lineage: Eukaryota; Metazoa; Chordata; Mammalia; Primates; Hominidae. The record is from RNAcentral.
CACAAGUGCUGAACCCUUGACGUGCCUUAUCUUAUUUGCUCCUCACAACAAAUCUUAUAAGAUGCAACACUACCAGAAGUUGUCCAGAAAGAACUGUGACCCUAUGUUUUAAUUAAAUAAUUUUUCAUCCAGUUUUUUUCUUUGCAUAUAAAGAAACAGAAUCCUGACAUCUGAUUGAAUUAUUGGCUCUCCUGAUGGUUGUGCGAUGGCUGCAGCAGUUCCAGAUGUCCCAUCGAGACACAAAAAGAUCCCAGAUGGAAGAUGCCAUCUCCUCCUAUGUGCCUCUUUUUAAGAGUGCCAUGCCACUCAAACAGCCAAUGGAAAGGCCCACGUGGCGAGAACUAAGGCUUCCUGCCAACAGGCAAGUGAGGAAGCCCAGUCAGCUGCCUGCAGUCCUGACCCAUGAAGAGCCUGACUGAAAGUGAAUGAGCAACUCUGAGCUAGGACAACCCAGCAAGGCCCAUCCUGAAUUCCUGCCCACAAAAACUCUGAGACAGUAAAUGUUCGUUGUUUUAAACCACUAAGUUUUGAAGUAAUAGAUUAAUUAGGUAACCAAUUGGGACUGCAGUAUUCCUUCAGGGAACUUGAAUAGUCAUUCUGUAUAUGGAAAUUGUACACAUCUUAAAAUUGCUGGACUAAAGUGAGAAGAGACUGUCUUGAGUCAACUGGAUAAAGUGGGAAAAAAAUUAAUUUGGAAAUCAAUAGAAUUCUGGCCUUGGCUUUGUCACUAAGAAACACUUAUAAGUAAUUUCACUUCUCUUGAAAUUAUGAUCAUUAUCUAUAACAUAAAGGAACUGAGCUAAAUGUUAUCUGAUGCCUCUUUAGGCUCUCAAACUCCAUAGAUUUAUGAAAUGCUUAAAAUUCACUUUGUUUCACCCUAAUUCAGAGCUUUGUUUCACUAGCUCUAGAAUUAGAUGCCUUGGGUUUAAAUUGCAAUUCAGUCACUUAUUAAAUAAUUGUACUUGGAUGAGUGAUGUUGCCAUUUUAAGCCUCAGUUUCCCCAUAGAUUCAUUGAGAAGAUCGAAUAAGAUGAUGCAGAUAAAGCUCUUAGUUUGUGGGGACACUUAGUAAGUGCUUAAUACAUACAGGCAGUUGUGUUAUCUAUGUUGUAGCAGCACAUUUUGUAAAAUAAAACAAAGUUGAAAUCACA